Molecule: ribosomal RNA, 606 nt
Filed under: uncultured Thermococcus sp.
Lineage: Archaea; Methanobacteriati; Methanobacteriota; Thermococci; Thermococcales; Thermococcaceae
Description: bacterial SSU rRNA
Rfam family: Archaeal small subunit ribosomal RNA
Source: RNAcentral
UCCAGGCCCUACGGGGCGCAGCAGGCGCGAAACCUCCGCAAUGCGGGAAACCGCGACGGGGGGACCCCGAGUGCCGUGGCACCGCCACGGCUUUUCCGGAGUGUAAAAAGCUCCGGGAAUAAGGGCUGGGCAAGGCCGGUGGCAGCCGCCGCGGUAAUACCGGCGGCCCGAGUGGUGGCCGCUAUUAUUGGGCCUAAAGCGUCCGUAGCCGGGCCCGUAAGUCCCUGGCGAAAUCCCACGGCUCAACCGUGGGGCUUGCUGGGGAUACUGCGGGCCUUGGGACCGGGAGAGGCGGGGGGUACCCCUGGGGUAGGGGUGAAAUCCUAUAAUCCCAGGGGGACCGCCAGUGGCGAAGGCGCCCCGCUGGAACGGGUCCGACGGUGAGGGACGAAGGCCAGGGGAGCAAACCGGAUUAGAUACCCGGGUAGUCCUGGCUGUAAAGGAUGCGGGCUAGGUGUCGGGUGAGCUUCGAGCUCGCCCGGUGCCGUAGGGAAGCCGUUAAGCCCGCCGCCUGGGGAGUACGGCCGCAAGGCUGAAACUUAAAGGAAUUGGCGGGGGAGCACUACAAGGGGUGGAGCGUGCGGUUUAAUUGGAUUCAACGCCGGG